Molecule: long non-coding RNA, 693 nt
Organism: Solenopsis invicta (red fire ant)
Lineage: Eukaryota; Metazoa; Arthropoda; Insecta; Hymenoptera; Formicidae
Exons: 2
Source: RefSeq, a predicted model, not a curated record
UCGUGAUCAGUAGUGGGAUUCUCUAACUCCUUAACGACGAAUAUCGCUAUUGUUAACUAUCGAUAUCGAUGAUUAUCGCAAAAGGUUAUUCUGUAACUAGGAGAUAUCGACAAUUCUCGAUAACUUGAAUCGUUAAAUUCCGAUAGUUAUCGAAGCCGCGUCGAUACGUUUGCGAUCGUUACCGGAGGUCUCGUUAAGCUAUUAACAAUAAUCGGUGUGAGUCGAUAGUGCGUUAGUGUAUGAAAUGUAUACGUAUGUGUGUAAUACGUGUUCCCGCAACCAUGAUUUAGAGGUUAAGUUGGUGUCUGAUUGUGAAUAUAUCGAGUGGCCUUCUCAGUUUUUGACAUCUUUUAAUUCGGUGACUUUGAUUCUUUUAAGAAUUGGAAAUCCAUAGGGCAGCGUAAGAAGUUGAAAUUCUAUUAGGAAUUUUAAUUUAUUUAGAACAACCAAAGAUGGCGCUUGGUUAUCUUGCUGCAGACUUACAAUUACUAGAAGAACGUGUCCAACGUUUGGAACGAAGGGUACAACGACAACUAUUACGAACUUUGUUCGAAAAUCCGUUCGAUUUGACGAACAAUGAAUUUAAAGAGCUGUACAAAAAUCUAACAUUUUUGUUAAUUGAACUUGCGAUGCCCUUGUAGUUCUUGUUUUUUUGCUGUAAAAUAAAGGUCAUCAAAAAUUUUUUAUAUUUUA